This 273-nucleotide ribosomal RNA is filed under the name uncultured prokaryote. RNAcentral describes it as "partial 16S ribosomal RNA". It matches the Rfam family "Bacterial small subunit ribosomal RNA", at positions 524 to 796 of the family's 1533-position model. The record is from RNAcentral.
UACGGAGGGUGCGAGCGUUAUCCGGAAUUACUGGGUUUAAAGGGUGCGUAGGCGGCUUUGUAAGUCAGGAGUGAAAGUUUGCGGCUCAACCGUAAAAUUGCUUCUGAUACUGCAUAGCUAGAAUUAGGAUGAGGUCAGCGGAAUGUGGCAUGUAGCGGUGAAAUGCAUAGAUAUGCCAUAGAACACCAAUUGCGAAGGCAGCUGGCUAGACCUGGAUUGACGCUGAGGCACGAAAGCGUGGGGAGCGAACAGGAUUAGAAACCCUAGUAGUCC